UAGAUUUCAUCCGUCAAU
This 18-nucleotide small RNA is filed under the name Arabidopsis thaliana (thale cress). Its description in RNAcentral is "ATSL058600". The record is from RNAcentral. Lineage: Eukaryota; Viridiplantae; Streptophyta; Magnoliopsida; Brassicales; Brassicaceae.